AUACGGAGGGUGCAAGCGUUAAUCGGAAUUACUGGGCGUAAAGCGCGCGUAGGCGGUUUGGUAAGUCGGAUGUGAAAGCCCCGGGCUCAACCUGGGAAUUGCAUUCGAUACUGCCAGACUAGAGUAUUGUAGAGGGAAGUGGAAUUCCGGGUGUAGCGGUGAAAUGCGUAGAUAUCCGGAGGAACACCAGUGGCGAAGGCGACUUCCUGGACCAAUACUGACGCUGAGGUGCGAAAGCGUGGGGAGCAAACAGGAUUAGAAACCCCAGUAGUCC
This 274-nucleotide ribosomal RNA is filed under the name uncultured bacterium. RNAcentral's name for it is "partial 16S ribosomal RNA". It matches the Rfam family "Bacterial small subunit ribosomal RNA", at positions 523 to 796 of the family's 1533-position model. The record is from RNAcentral.